AGAGUUUGAUUAUGGCUCAGGAUGAACGCUGGCGGCGUGCUUAACACAUGCAAGUCGAACGAGGUCCAACCUUCGGGUGAAGACCGAGUGGCGAACGGGUGAGUAACACGUGGGGAACCUGCCCUUCUCUCUGGGAUAACCUCGGGAAACCGAAGCUAAUACCGGAUACUCCUUGCGGACCGCAUGGUCUGCUCGGGAAAGCUCCGGCGGAGAAGGAUGGCCCCGCGGCCCAUUAGCUUGUUGGUGGGGUAACGGCCCACCAAGGCGACGAUGGGUAGCCGAGCUGAGAGGCUGAUCGGCCACACUGGGACUGAGACACGGCCCAGACUCCUACGGGAGGCAGCAGUGGGGAAUCUUGCGCAAUGGGCGAAAGCCUGACGCAGCAACGCCGCGUGCGGGAUGAAGGCUCUCGGGUCGUAAACCGCUUUCAGCAGGGAUGAAAAUGACAGUACCUGCAGAAGAAGCCCCGGCUAAAUACGUGCCAGCAGCCGCGGUAAUACGUAUGGGGCAAGCGUUAUCCGGAUUCAUUGGGCGUAAAGCGCGCGUAGGCGGCUUGUUAAGUCAGGCGUGAAAUCCGGGGGCUCAACCCGCGGCUUGCGUCUGAAACUGGCAGGCUUGAGUCUGGUAGAGGAAAGUGGAAUUCCUGGUGUAGCGGUGAAAUGCGCAGAUAUCAGGAGGAACACCAGUGGCGAGGGCGGCUUUCUGGGCCACGACUGACGCUGAGGCGCGAAAGCUAGGGGAGCGAACAGGAUUAGAUACCCUGGUAGUC
RNAcentral lists this ribosomal RNA (769 nucleotides) under uncultured Actinomycetes bacterium. RNAcentral's name for it is "bacterial SSU rRNA". It matches the Rfam family "Bacterial small subunit ribosomal RNA", at positions 8 to 795 of the family's 1533-position model. The record is from RNAcentral. Lineage: Bacteria; Bacillati; Actinomycetota; Actinomycetes.